AUGUUUUGUCGUCAACCACUCCGGAGCCAACCCCGCCAUGGCAGGUUCGGCGCCUCAAUCCAGCAGAGUUUAGCAGAACGUAGUCGCCAAGGCCUUUGCUUUAUCUGCGACGAGAUUUAUGUUUGGGGUCACCGGUGCGCGCGGCUCUUCUACAACUUACAACCUGCGGACAAGCUGUUUUUCAAGGAAGAGAGAGAUGUUAUGUGGACCAGCCCAUCAAACAUGGAGUCUUAUCCCUUAAUUAGAGUCCUAGUUGAUAAAGCAUCUUUGUUAGUGAAGAGCCCAGUGGAGUCUUAUAUUACUUAA
RNAcentral lists this ribosomal RNA (306 nucleotides) under Triticum aestivum (bread wheat). Its description in RNAcentral is "partial small subunit ribosomal RNA". Lineage: Eukaryota; Viridiplantae; Streptophyta; Magnoliopsida; Poales; Poaceae. The record is from RNAcentral.